Syngnathoides biaculeatus (alligator pipefish) is the source of this 1298-nucleotide long non-coding RNA. RefSeq lists it as uncharacterized. NCBI's taxonomy places the organism in Eukaryota, Metazoa, Chordata, Actinopteri, Syngnathiformes, Syngnathidae. The record is from RefSeq and is a predicted model, not a curated record. The transcript has 3 exons.
UGCCAUAUUGUAUAUCGUUAGCGUCAUAUGCUAUCACAAUAGCACUAAAAAAAAAAAAAACUACAAAUGUGAUUGGUAAAAUAUGUAUUCCACGAAAGGGUGACGAGGACUCGACACUCGUUCGUUAAAUUUGUUUUCCCCCCAAAAAAGGACAAAAUUACUUCUGCAGUUUAUCAGCAUAUGUAAAUAUUUUUUUCAUGUUUACAGUUCCCCCUCAACAUAACUCGCAUUAUGGAACUUCGUGACUUCGCCAUUACUGCCAUCGCAGGGUGUUCACGGUACGUAAUGUAGUACUGCACAUUCAUUUCUAUACAUUCAUAUAUUUUUUAUCCAAACGUACCAUUUUUGUUUCAAAAGUUGAAAAGUGUUGAAUUAUGUUUGUGUAAAGUGAGACUACAGAUUGAGAGUCAGGGUCUACGUUAAAAUAAAAGAUGGCAGUUACAUGAGGUUGGAAUAACGUAGAGUACAUUUCAUGCAAAGGCGGCGAGAGCAUGCAUAUUUUUGAACAUAUUUUUUAGGCGGUUUUCAGGUGAACUCCCUGCGAUAAAUGAAAUGAUGACGAUCUCGUCUCCGUUUACUCGCAAAUGUAAUCGGCGUUGAAUCCUUCUGUUCUUUCAAUUCAACAUUCUGUCAUUUUAGCAAAUCAAUCAUCUCAAUUCCGACGAGAGACGCGAGGGAGUGGACGCCGGACGCUGCGCCGUGCGGAUGCAAAAAAAAAAACAAAAACACCUGCGACCGGACCUCUCCCGAGCUCCGACUUCCGCGACGCUCCUUACUCCGCCGGUCCUCGGGAACGAUCUGCGAGCGGGUCAUCCGGCGGUGGCGAAAUCCGAGGGGCCCCGAUACUAUGCCGAGCACGCACGCGCCAGCGCCGGCAACUGUGGCGCCGCUUUGAUUGUGCAGAACGGCGGCAGGAAAGCGGACCGGCCAACAGGAGCCCGAUUGUUUUGUGCUCGGGCUCUUGGCUGACCCAACAACAACAACAACAGUGGGCGGCACAACAUUUGCGUGGGAUCGAUUCCUGCUCAGUGACGGAGUCGAUAUCUGCCCUGCGACUGACUGGCGACCAGUUCAGGGUGCCGUCCGCCUUUUGCCCGAAGCUAGCUGGGAAAGGCUCCAGCUUUCCCGCAACACUUGUGAGGAUAAGCGGCUUGGAUAAUGACAUAUGUGUGUAUAUAAAGGUGUCACUGUGUGUGUGUGUGUGUGGUACACACGCCUGACUUUGGUGCGUGCAGCGUGGGAUUGAUUCCCGCUCAGUGCUAGGUUCUCCCUCGUGAGGAUAAGCGCCUUCGGGGAGU